Molecule: ribosomal RNA, 173 nt
Filed under: uncultured Rhodoferax sp.
Lineage: Bacteria; Pseudomonadati; Pseudomonadota; Betaproteobacteria; Burkholderiales; Comamonadaceae
Description: partial 16S ribosomal RNA
Rfam family: Bacterial small subunit ribosomal RNA
Source: RNAcentral
AGUGGGGCUACACACGUCAUACAAUGGCUGGUACAAAGGGUUGCAACCGCGAGGGGAGCCAAUCCCAUAAAGCCAGUCGUAGUCCGGAUCGUAGUCUGCAACUCGACUACGUGAAGUCGGAAUCGCUAGUAAUCGUGGAUCAGAAUGUCACGGUGAAUACGUUCCCGGGUCUU